UACAGAGGGGGCGAGCGUUGUUCGGAAUUACUGGGCGUAAAGGGCGCGUAGGCGGCCCGCUAAGUCGAACGUGAAAUCCCCAGGCUCAACCUGGGAACUGCGUCCGAUACUGGCAGGCUUGAAUCCGGGAGAGGGAUGUGGAAUUCCAGGUGUAGCGGUGAAAUGCGUAGAUAUCUGGAGGAACACCGGUGGCGAAGGCGGCAUCCUGGACCAGUAUUGACGCUGAGGCGCGAAAGCUAGGGGAGCAAACGGG
Molecule: ribosomal RNA, 253 nt
Filed under: uncultured bacterium
Lineage: Bacteria
Description: partial 16S ribosomal RNA
Rfam family: Bacterial small subunit ribosomal RNA
Source: RNAcentral